RNA transcript from Brassica napus (rape), 1082 nucleotides. RefSeq lists it as uncharacterized. The record is from RefSeq and is a predicted model, not a curated record. Lineage: Eukaryota; Viridiplantae; Streptophyta; Magnoliopsida; Brassicales; Brassicaceae. The transcript has 4 exons.
GUUGCUGUGUGUUUGGGACGUGAAAGUGAUGGGCUACGCUUGAUAUGAAGUCAGGUCCGUAACUGAAGGAAGUAUACCCUAGGCUUCUCGCGAUCGUCUCCUUCUUCCUUCUACGAGACUUGUCAUCUUCAUCUGUAUCAUCUCUACCACUGAAACGCUUCCGAUUAUUUCUUCUUUAUGUUUAAUCUCAAUUAGAUAUGUUCUAUAAUAAGACAUGUUCGGCGUUUCUGAUUUUAAAGUUUCAUUACUCUCUCUUCUCUGCUGUAGCAGUUGUCUGCCGUAGCAGUUGUCCGCCUCCUUAGUUUUGGGAAUCGGUGGCGAGCUCAGAGCAGACGCUCAUGAAAUCCACCGUCAAUGUCCACCAUCUGAAUGCAUUCAACAUCUUUUCAAAGCGGGUUCGAUGUACUCUUAUCACCGGAUUUGAUAUUACUCGGAGCCAUCUUAGCAAGAACGGGGAAAGUAAACAACAGAGUUUGGAUGGUCUGAUCAAAGAAAUUUGUAGGUAAAAUUUUGAAUGGAGAGCAGAUGAGAUAUCAUCUUCUUCGAUUUCGAUUUCGUGUAACAAGCAGAUGAGGGUGAAAGAAGAAGUUGUAGAAGGAACAAUGCAUCUUCUGUCCCUGGUGAUCAUUGAGGCUGGAAGAAAGAGCUUUAAGAAGCAAAUUGUGGGGUUGCAGGACUCAAGCUUGCUGUUGAUGAUGCCGCUACCAUUACUCCCUCUGAUCUUGGCUGCAAAAAGAUAACAAUGCAUCUGGAUGGAGGGAAGUUUCAAGAGACACACAGAUAAGAGAAUCAUGCCGUCAAGACCAUCCAAGAGAUAUAUGGCACAAUAAGUUUAUAAGCAAGUCUAAGAAUUUAUAUCUAAAGAUGAUGAUUCUGAUUUCUGAAACACACAGAGAAGAUGUUAUCAAACUUAUCGUGCCAUAUAAGGAACUUUCACUGAGAAUCAGACCAGCUAGGUAACAUGCAAUUGAAGAAGCUAUGAUCAAAUCUGAAAGUUCAAGCUUUACAAUUGUAGAAAGUUCAAGCUUUACCAUUGUAGAGAACUUGGGUGGUAUGAUCCAAACAGAAACUUAUUGCUCAAA